Molecule: long non-coding RNA, 204 nt
Filed under: Dermacentor andersoni
Lineage: Eukaryota; Metazoa; Arthropoda; Arachnida; Ixodida; Ixodidae
Description: uncharacterized LOC126518737
Source: RNAcentral
CUUUGAUGCCAACACUUUAGCGAGCUGCGCCAUAAAUACAUUGGGUAUCUGACACUCUGUCGGUGCUGGUCUUCAAUAAAGCACUUUGAGCAUAUUUAGGUCACUGGGUGUGUGCCAGUAGGUGAAUGCCUCCCUUCCAUGCACGUCUUUCACGUCAUCUUGGGUAACUAGGGAUGUGCCACUGGGAGUGUGCCGCACCACAAU